GAUGAAGAACGCAGCGAAAUGCGAUAAGUAAUGUGAAUUGCAGAAUUCAGUGAAUCAUCGAAUCUUUGAACGCACAUUGCGCCCGCCAGUAUUCUGGCGGGCAUGCCUGUUCGAGCGUCAUUUCAACCCUCAGGACCCUUUGGACCUGGUGUUGGGGCUCGGCCGCUACCCCGCGGCCGUCCCCGAAAGAUAGUGGCGGUCUCGCUGUAGCGUCCUCUGCGUAGUAAUUACACCUCGCACUGGAACGCGGCGCGGCCACGCCGUUAAAGACCCCACUUCUCAAGGUUGACCUCGGAUCAGGUAGGAAUACCCGCUGAACUUAAGCAUAUCAAUAAGCGGAGGA
This 343-nucleotide unclassified non-coding RNA is filed under the name soil metagenome. Its description in RNAcentral is "partial contains 5.8S ribosomal RNA, internal transcribed spacer 2, and large subunit ribosomal RNA". The stretch from base 1 to 120 matches the Rfam family "5.8S ribosomal RNA", at positions 35 to 154 of the family's 154-position model. The record is from RNAcentral.